This 87-nucleotide transfer RNA is filed under the name Clostridiales bacterium. RNAcentral describes it as "tRNA-Leu". It matches the Rfam family "tRNA". From Rfam's summary of the family: Transfer RNA (tRNA) molecules are approximately 80 nucleotides in length. Their secondary structure includes four short double-helical elements and three loops (D, anti-codon, and T loops). RNAcentral also lists the same sequence under 1 other name. The record is from RNAcentral. Lineage: Bacteria; Bacillati; Bacillota; Clostridia; Eubacteriales.
GCCGGCGUGAUGGAAUAGGCAGACGUGCUGGAUUCAAAAUCCAGUGGUGGCAACACCGUAUCGGUUCGACCCCGAUCGCCGGCACCA